GGGACUACUAGGGUUUCUAAUCCCGUUUGCUCCCCACGCUUUCGUGCCUUAGUGUCAGGAAUGAGCCAGUUAUCUGCCUACGCCAUCGGUGUUCCUCCCAAUAUCUACGGAUUUCACUCCUACACUGGGAAUUCCAAUAACCUCUCUCAUCCUCUAGCUGAGCAGUUUCCAUAAUGUGUAUUCGGUUGAGCCGAACGCUUUCACUACAGACUUACUCUGCCACCUACGCAACUCUUUACGCCCAGUAAUUCCGGAUAACGCUUGGAUCCUCCGUAUUACCGCGGCGGCUGGCAC
RNAcentral lists this unclassified non-coding RNA (294 nucleotides) under uncultured fungus. RNAcentral's name for it is "sequence contains ITS1". Lineage: Eukaryota; Fungi. The record is from RNAcentral.